AUUUGACCUGAUACAACAUCGGAU
Molecule: non-coding RNA, 24 nt
Filed under: Arabidopsis thaliana (thale cress)
Lineage: Eukaryota; Viridiplantae; Streptophyta; Magnoliopsida; Brassicales; Brassicaceae
Source: RNAcentral